UUAAAACUCUUAGCAACGGAUCUCUAGGUUCUCGCAUCGAUGAAGAACGCAGCGAAAUGCGAUAAGUAGUGUGAAUUGCAGAAUUUUGUGAAUCAUCGAAUCUUUGAACGCAAAUUGCGCUUUUUGGUAUUCCAAAGAGCAUAUUUGUUUGAGCAUCA
Molecule: ribosomal RNA, 158 nt
Filed under: [Candida] tunisiensis
Lineage: Eukaryota; Fungi; Ascomycota; Dipodascomycetes; Dipodascales
Description: 5.8S ribosomal RNA
Rfam family: 5.8S ribosomal RNA
About the family: 5.8S ribosomal RNA (5.8S rRNA) is a component of the large subunit of the eukaryotic ribosome.
Source: RNAcentral